Molecule: ribosomal RNA, 543 nt
Filed under: uncultured fungus
Lineage: Eukaryota; Fungi
Description: SSU rRNA
Rfam family: Eukaryotic small subunit ribosomal RNA
Source: RNAcentral
CAAAGAUUAAGCCAUGCAUGUCUAAGUAUAAGCAAUUUGUACUGUGAAACUGCGAAUGGCUCAUUAAAUCAGUUAUCGUUUAUUUGAUAGUACCUUACUACAUGGAUACCUGUGGUAAUUCUAGAGCUAAUACAUGCUAAAAACCUCGACUUCGGAAGGGGUGUAUUUAUUAGAUAAAAAACCAAUGCCCUUCGGGGCUCCUUGGUGAAUCAUAAUAACUUAGCGAAUCGCAUGGCCUUGCGCCGGCGAUGGUUCAUUCAAAUUUCUGCCCUAUCAACUUUCGAUGGUAGGAUAGUGGCCUACCAUGGUGGCAACGGGUAACGGGGAAUUAGGGUUCGAUUCCGGAGAGGGAGCCUGAGAAACGGCUACCACAUCCAAGGAAGGCAGCAGGCGCGCAAAUUACCCAAUCCCGACACGGGGAGGUAGUGACAAUAAAUACUGAUACGGGGCUCCUUUGGGUCUCGUAAUUGGAAUGAGUACAAUCUAAAUCCCUUAACGAGGAACAAUUGGAGGGCAAGUCUGGUGCCAGCAGCCAAUCGAAUU